This 125-nucleotide small RNA is filed under the name Marmota monax (woodchuck). The record is from RNAcentral. Lineage: Eukaryota; Metazoa; Chordata; Mammalia; Rodentia; Sciuridae.
GCCAGGCAUGGUAGUGCACGCCUGUAAUCCCAGUGACUCAGGAGGCUGAGACAGGAGAAUCAAGAGUUCAAAGCCAGUUUAAGCAAAUGCAAAGUGCUAAACUACUCAGUGAGACCCUGUCUCUA